RNAcentral lists this ribosomal RNA (295 nucleotides) under Vibrio parahaemolyticus. Its description in RNAcentral is "partial 16S ribosomal RNA". It matches the Rfam family "Bacterial small subunit ribosomal RNA", at positions 108 to 406 of the family's 1533-position model. The record is from RNAcentral. Lineage: Bacteria; Pseudomonadati; Pseudomonadota; Gammaproteobacteria; Vibrionales; Vibrionaceae.
GAGUAAUGCCUAGGAAAUUGCCCUGAUGUGGGGGAUAACCAUUGGAAACGAUGGCUAAUACCGCAUGAUGCCUACGGGCCAAAGAGGGGGACCUUCGGGCCUCUCGCGUCAGGAUAUGCCUAGGUGGGAUUAGCUAGUUGGUGAGGUAAGGGCUCACCAAGGCGACGAUCCCUAGCUGGUCUGAGAGGAUGAUCAGCCACACUGGAACUGAGACACGGUCCAGACUCCUACGGGAGGCAGCAGUGGGGAAUAUUGCACAAUGGGCGCAAGCCUGAUGCAGCCAUGCCGCGUGUGU